AGGGAGACCUACCUUGGGGCAUCUGAGGGGAGUUAGACCACCCUCAGGCCAGCAAAGGUUAUCCCAGGUCGGUCGGGGUUGAAGGGAUGGUUGACUGGGGUUCUGGGGGAGAGCCAAGGGAAGGGCUAUUAGCUCAGGUGGUUAGAGCGCACCCCUGAUAAGGGUGAGGUCCCUGGUUCGAGUCCAGGAUGGCCCACUGUUUGUCCUGGAGAAGGGAGAGCCAGCAAGCUAGAAGCGAGCUGGCCAAGCUGAGGGCAAAGCCAGAGGGUGGGUGCAGUCUGGAUUGGGGGUAUAGCUCAGCUGGUAGAGCGCUGCCUUUGCACGGCAGAAGUCAGCGGUUCGAGUCCGCUUGCCUCCACC
RNAcentral lists this transfer RNA (360 nucleotides) under uncultured cyanobacterium. Its description in RNAcentral is "partial 16S-23S intergenic spacer". The stretch from base 286 to 358 matches the Rfam family "tRNA". The record is from RNAcentral. Lineage: Bacteria; Bacillati; Cyanobacteriota.